UUGCAAACAAAUACAAAAACUCAUCGUACCGUACUAUAAGCAAAUAAGAAAACAAAAAAUAACAUGUAUCCAAAAGAAGAAGAACACACGACGCGAAGCUCAGCACGGUAUCCCAACAGUCCCACACUGCGUUUCAACCGCACAAAUCGUUGAACCCAUAAACAACAGACCAACUAGAAACCGACGCGUAAGCAGCUUUAUUAUUUUACUUUUCUUGGCUGUUACUUUAUCCUGAGACUGCAGAUAAAUUUUGUCAGUUAGUGUGAGCAAAAGCAGUCAGCAAAAAGAAACUGUAAGAAACCGUACGCUUCUCUCUCUCGCCAUGGCUGACGAGCAUAACGAAUCGUUGCACCAAGAUCAACAAGGAGCUGAGCUAAAACAAGUAAUGCAGA
This 392-nucleotide long non-coding RNA is filed under the name Brassica napus (rape). RNAcentral's name for it is "long non-coding RNA (BNAP_LNC013450)". The record is from RNAcentral. Lineage: Eukaryota; Viridiplantae; Streptophyta; Magnoliopsida; Brassicales; Brassicaceae.